Molecule: ribosomal RNA, 525 nt
Filed under: Triticum aestivum (bread wheat)
Lineage: Eukaryota; Viridiplantae; Streptophyta; Magnoliopsida; Poales; Poaceae
Description: partial small subunit ribosomal RNA
Source: RNAcentral
AUGCGUGCAGGCAUAGAGGAGGUCUUUGCGUUGGCAGUGCACAGGCACUGCAGGUGGCAUAUUAUUAAGAAGGCUGAGGAGACGCUAGGACCAUUCUUUGUUGACCGUCCAGAGCUGCACAGGGCAUUCGAGUUAUGCGUGGACCACAGUUUGAUGGUGGAGGAGUUUGAACGGAGCUGCACGGCUAUGAUUGAAACAUACCAAGUCCAAGACAACGAGACACUUACUAGCCUGUGGGAGAAGCUAAUGUACUGGGUCCCGGCCUACUUCAUGCAGUGCUUCUUCCCAUUUCUGCAGACUACUCAGCGCAGCAAGGGGUUCAAUGCUGUUUUGAAGCGGUACGUGAGCCCUGGCAACUCAUUGCUACAGUUUGCCAAGCAAUACACAACUUUGCAACAGAAAAUACUGGGACCUGAGCUGCAACAAGAAGCAAACACCGCGCUCAAGCAGACUAAAAAGCUAACAUAUUUACCGAUGGAGAGGCAGAUGAGCAAGAUAUAUACCAACAAGAUUUUUAACAAGUAA